CUUUAACAAUCUGGAACAAGCUGAAAAAUUGAAACAACGGAUAAUUGAAAUGAUUAUUCGUGAGUCUCUCAAAUAAUCGCGGCGCGAGGGUGAUUCGACAGAAACAUCUUCGG
This 113-nucleotide small RNA is filed under the name Samsonia erythrinae. RNAcentral's name for it is "Salmonella enterica Typhi npcRNA 44". It matches the Rfam family "Salmonella enterica Typhi npcRNA 44". Lineage: Bacteria; Pseudomonadati; Pseudomonadota; Gammaproteobacteria; Enterobacterales; Pectobacteriaceae. The record is from RNAcentral.